RNAcentral lists this ribosomal RNA (490 nucleotides) under uncultured bacterium. RNAcentral's name for it is "partial 16S ribosomal RNA". It matches the Rfam family "Bacterial small subunit ribosomal RNA", at positions 29 to 505 of the family's 1533-position model. The record is from RNAcentral.
AGUGAACGCUGGCGGUAGGCCUAACACAUGCAAGUCGAACGGCAGCACAGUAAGAGCUUGCUCUUACGGGUGGCGAGUGGCGGACGGGUGAGGAAUACAUCGGAAUCUACUUUUUCGUGGGGGAUAACGUAGGGAAACUUACGCUAAUACCGCAUACGACCUACGGGUGAAAGCAGGGGAUCUUCGGACCUUGCGCGAUUGAAUGAGCCGAUGUCGGAUUAGCUAGUUGGCGGGGUAAAGGCCCACCAAGGCGACGAUCCGUAGCUGGUCUGAGAGGAUGAUCGCCAAACAGGGAAGGAGAACGCGGUCCAGACCCCUGGGGGGGGAAGGAGGGGGAAAUUUUGGAAAAGGGGCGAAAGCCUGACCCAGCCAUACCGGGUGGGUGAAGAAGGCCUUGGGGUUGAAAACCCCUUUUGGGGGGAAAAAAAAGCCGCGGUUUAAUCCCCCGCUUUUUUGGGGGAACCAAAAAAAAAAGCCCCGGCAAUCUGCG